This is a long non-coding RNA of Mercenaria mercenaria, 1258 nucleotides long. RefSeq lists it as uncharacterized. The record is from RefSeq and is a predicted model, not a curated record. The transcript is spliced from 4 exons. Lineage: Eukaryota; Metazoa; Mollusca; Bivalvia; Venerida; Veneridae.
CAUUAAAUCCGUCAUGUGUUUGUUUCAGAUGAAUGAAUACCUGCACCAUGGAAACAAUGUCAUUUGCAAAUUUUUUGAACCUGUGCUGGGCGUUCACAUUGACAUUUCUUGUUCAGCAGGAAUACAUGAUGUCGACCAACAGUACAGCUAGAUGAAGAUAUAAAUUUAUUCAAAGAAAUAAUGGGACAAUGAAUGCUAAAAUUGCCAAGAAGCAAGAAGACUGCCAAUUUACACACCAUUUUAUACAGUUACAGUAUGAUAUGGUGAACAAAAUGCCUCAAUGCAGCCAGUUCUGGAGCUUUGGCUAGACUAUGAACAGUAGACAUCAAAAGAUGAUCAUCUGAAGGGCCACAAUUGUUUAAAGCACUGGUCAACAAAAACUGAACUAUUUGAUGAAUCAUACAUCUGCAGAAUGUACUACCAUAUUUCCAGAAUCAGAGAAAUAGAAAUAUCAAGUAUUAGAGAGAAAGAAAAGUAUGCAUCAUGUAUGAAGAACUGCCUAAGAAUAAUUUGCAAAAUACAUUGAAAUGUAACAACUGCUAAUUGCAUAAGGAAGUUAAGGAAGGUGUACUCUUUGGAAAAUAUGUGUCCAGUGCAACAUUUCUUUUCCAAUUUUGUGAGCAUAAUUCUGAAUAAAAAUUGCAACAUGGGUACAGGGAUAAUACAAAAGGUUUAAUCUUAUUUCCAAACGCAUUGGGGGAAUCAGAGAAGAAAUAUCAAGAACUAGGGAAAAAGAAAUAAUUGUCAUGAAUGAAGAACUUACUUUUUAUUAAUUUACAAAAUACCUUUUAUUCUCACAACUGUUAAUAAUAUUAUGAAUAUGGAAGUUAAAAGUGUGGACUUUGAUUAAUCUUCAACUUCUCUGAGCAUAGUUCUACAUAAAAAUUGUAACUUUAUAAAAUAGUCUUGUAGAAAAAGUGUAAGACUUUCAUACUUGUUUUAUAGAAAAUGUUUCUGGAUGUUUCAAUGUAAGUUUGCUAGACCCAGACCACUAGCUCCUAAGUAGUCAAGGUUACACUUAGAUGUCAAAGGUUAAAAGGGUCUGUUUCUGUCUGGUCAAUAACUGCAAUACAUAAAGGGAUUUUGGAAUUACUGGGCAUAAAUGUUCACCAUAAAGAGACAACGUGUUAUGCGCAAGACCCAAACCCUUGCUCCAAGGUCAAGGUCACACUUAGAGGUCAAAGGUUAAUAGAGUCUUUUGGUGUCUGGUCAAUAACUCUGCGAUCCAUGAAGCGACUUUUAGAUAACUUGGCAUAAA